AUCGUUUGGUUAUCGCACCCCUUGAUUGCAUUGUAUAGUUGUGGAUAGACAUGUAGAGCAGGUUGCAUUUGUAUUUCAGUAUCUCUGUGGACCUUGGGUCCAGGCAACACAUCGACUCUCUUGUCGUGUGUUUCGAUCUGGUUGAUCGAGGUUCGGCGUUGUACGCCCUAGCAUCUAUUUCAGUUCGGCGUUGUACGCCCUAGCUUCUAUUUCAGUUUGGCAUUGUACGCCCUCGUGGUUGGCUUCGGCCUAGGCACCGGCUUCAGCCGGGUUUAUUUUUGUUUGAGCAUAUCAGCAUGACUUAGUCACGGCACUUGGGGGUAUUCAUGACACCGGAUCGGUUUGGCCACCGAUCGGAGGUGUACUUAUCCGGAUAGGUCGUCCUGCGGGGCGGAUGGAUCAGGUCGGCGCAGUUAGUGACAGGUAGCGCUUGAGGUCUGCGGACCGAUACAGCAGGCACAGAUUGGGUACAGUUUCUGGUUCAGUACAUUGAGGCAUUCCUUGCAUUAUUUUCUAUACAGUAGCAGGUUUAUUUAUUGCUUCCUAUUUAUCUGUUGUAGCUACUGUAGUUCUAUUUCAUUUCAGCUUACAUAUAUACUUGUUUAUCUAUCUCCUUUGGUUUCCGGUGAUUACGACUUGCCUUCGUGGCUCUGUCGUACCCACUGAGAAAACCAUGGUUGCGGUUUCUCACCCCCCCUUUUCCCCCCAGGUGACAGAGACGAGGAGUUGGAUUUUGGGCUCGACGAGAGGACGAUCUAGCUAGACAGCAGUAGCGUCCGUCACCCUGGUUAUUUCUUUCCCACACUUAGUAGUUUUCUUAAUAAUGGUUCAGUUAGCUGAUCUUAUGUAUGCUUGAAUGUAUGUGAACUGUGGUGUUGGUUUUCCUCGUAUGUAUGAGAUUGGAGUUUUCGAUCGGUGGUUUUGGUUCUGUGGAGAUUUGGUUUUCUUGUAGUUAUGCAUCGUGGUUUUCUACCCCUCGAGGUAGUCGGUUUUCAAAAUAGAGUUUCCGUGUGGGAAACAGUUUUAAAAAGGUUUUCGAAUGGUUUUUAUGAAUGAAUGAAUUAGAGUUUAAAAACAAAAGCUUCCGUGUGGGGAGCACUUUUAAAUAGGAUGUUUGUUGUAUUGUGCAUUGCAUCAUCCAGCGCCUAAGGAGUGCUUAGAGGCAUGCAUCAUUCUAAGGAUUGUUAGCUGUAUGGAAAUGCAUAUCAUGCCUUGGUUGUUGAUUGGUAAAUGUAGGUUGUGGUUGAGAUCCUGUUGUAUCGUUGGUACGCCGUGCAAAUACAAAGGAGACUCUGUCCGAGUGGACAGAGGAACUUUGUAUUUGUGGCGGGUCUGUACGUCGCGUGGGCCAGGUUAAAAAAAAAAAAAAAAAUGGCACGUUUUCCGCAACUCUGUUUUCAAAAUGGCUUUUAAA
Molecule: long non-coding RNA, 1414 nt
Filed under: Ananas comosus (pineapple)
Lineage: Eukaryota; Viridiplantae; Streptophyta; Magnoliopsida; Poales; Bromeliaceae
Description: long non-coding RNA (ACOM_LNC027884)
Source: RNAcentral